This 291-nucleotide long non-coding RNA is filed under the name Rhinopithecus bieti (black snub-nosed monkey). RNAcentral's name for it is "lncRNA (ENSRBIG00000045982.1)". The record is from RNAcentral. Lineage: Eukaryota; Metazoa; Chordata; Mammalia; Primates; Cercopithecidae.
GAAGGGGACACAAAGACUCACAUGGCAGCACAUCCACGAUAUGGGUCUCCACCUACAGUUCCAGUCCUCUGGGUGAAGAUAUUGGCUUGAGAAGUCCUGCUGGAUGCUGAGGAUGACACAGGAGGAAAAGCAGAACAGACGAAAGGAGAGUGGAGGGAGCAACACAACUGGAGAACAGGAAGAAAUUGAAAGCAUUAAAAAUGGUAAAAUGAAAGUAAAACUGUCACUAUUGGAAGGUGGUAUGACUGCAUUCCCGAAAAACCCAAGGUAAUCAGCUAAAAUUUACUAAUA